Molecule: small nucleolar RNA, 128 nt
Organism: Juglans regia (Persian walnut)
Lineage: Eukaryota; Viridiplantae; Streptophyta; Magnoliopsida; Fagales; Juglandaceae
Source: RefSeq, a predicted model, not a curated record
AUCAAAAGGACAAAAAAAAAAAAAAAAAUCUUGGUAUAAUGGCUCAGACCCUACAUCUAACUUUUGUGGCUAUCCUGAUCAAUGGUUUCUUUCAAUGCCAUUUGAUCCCAGAAACACCACAUAUAUUA